GCUAAACGCGAAGAACCUUACCUGGCCUUGACAUGCCACUAACGAAGCAGAGAUGCAUUAGGUGCCCGUAAGGGAAAGUGGACACAGGUGCUGCAUGGCUGUCGUCAGCUCGUGUCGUGAGAUGUUGGGUUAAGUCCCGCAACGAGCGCAACCCUUGCCAUUAAUUGCCAUCAUUUAGUUGGGCACUUUAAUGGGACUGCCGGUGACAAACCGGAGGAAGGUGGGGAUGACGUCAAGUCCUCAUGGCCCUUAUGGCCAGGGCUUCACACGUAAUACAAUGGUCGGUACAGAGAGUUGCCAAGCCGCGAGGUGGAGCUAAUCUCAGAAAGCCGAUCGUAGUCCGGAUUGUUCUCUGCAACUCGAGAGCAUGAAGUCGGAAUCGCUAGUAGCGGUGAGUCAGCUAUAUUACCGUGAAUACGUUCCCGGGUCUUGUACAC
This 437-nucleotide ribosomal RNA is filed under the name uncultured bacterium. Its description in RNAcentral is "bacterial SSU rRNA". It matches the Rfam family "Bacterial small subunit ribosomal RNA", at positions 954 to 1388 of the family's 1533-position model. The record is from RNAcentral.